This 484-nucleotide ribosomal RNA is filed under the name uncultured bacterium. Its description in RNAcentral is "partial 16S ribosomal RNA". It matches the Rfam family "Bacterial small subunit ribosomal RNA", at positions 28 to 507 of the family's 1533-position model. The record is from RNAcentral.
AUUGAACGCUGGCGGCAUGCUUUACACAUGCAAGUCGAACGGCAGCGCGGGCUUCGGCCUGGCGGCGAGUGGCGAACGGGUGAGUAAUGCAUCGGAACGUGCCCAGUAGUGGGGGAUAGCCCGGCGAAAGCCGGAUUAAUACCGCAUACGACCUGAGGGUGAAAGCGGGGGACCGAAAGGCCUCGCGCUAUUGGGGCGGCCGAUGUCGGAUUAGCUAGUUGGUGGGGUAAAGGCGUACCAAGGCGACGAUCCGUAGCUGGUCUGAGAGGACGACCAGCCACACUGGGACUGAGACACGGCCCAGACUCCUACGGGAGGCAGCAGUGGGGAAUUUUGGACAAUGGGGGCAACCCUGAUCCAGCCAUGCCGCGUGCGGGAAGAAGGCCUUCGGGUUGUAAACCGCUUUUGUUCGGGAAGAAAUCCUCUGGGCUAAUACCCCGGGGGGAUGACGGUACCGGAAGAAUAAGCACCGGCUAACUACGUG